GAUGAACGCUGGCGGCGUGCUUAACACAUGCAAGUCGAACGAAGCACUUAAGACAGAUUCCUUCGGGAUGAAGAUUUUUGUGACUGAGUGGCGGACGGGUGAGUAACGCGUGGGUAACCUGCCUUAUACAGGGGGAUAGCAGUUGGAAACGACUGGUAAUACCGCAUAAGCGCACAGUACCGCAUGGUACAGUGUGAAAAACUCCGGUGGUAUGAGAUGGACCCGCGUCUGAUUAGCUGGUUGGUGAGGUAACGGCCCACCAAGGCGACGAUCAGUAGCCGACCUGAGAGGGUGACCGGCCACAUUGGGACUGAGACACGGCCCAGACUCCUACGGGAGGCAGCAGUGGGGAAUAUUGGCACAAUGGAGGAAACUCUGAUGCAGCGACGCCGCGUGAGUGAAGAAGUAGUUCGCUAUGUAAAGCUCUAUCAGCAGGAAG
RNAcentral lists this ribosomal RNA (439 nucleotides) under uncultured bacterium. Its description in RNAcentral is "bacterial SSU rRNA". It matches the Rfam family "Bacterial small subunit ribosomal RNA", at positions 28 to 446 of the family's 1533-position model. The record is from RNAcentral.